Molecule: ribosomal RNA, 501 nt
Filed under: uncultured Anaerolineae bacterium
Lineage: Bacteria; Bacillati; Chloroflexota; Anaerolineae
Description: bacterial SSU rRNA
Rfam family: Bacterial small subunit ribosomal RNA
Source: RNAcentral
ACAUACGCGUAGAGUUUGAUCAUGGCUCAGGAUGAACGCUGGCGGCGUGCUUAAUACAUGCAAGUCGAACGGAAUGUAGCAAUACAUUUAGUGGCGAACGGGUGAGUAACACGUUGGUGACCUGCCCCGAAGUGUGGGAUAACAGUCCGAAAGGAUUGCUAAUACCUCAUGUGGUUGCCGGGUUUAGAAGCUGGCAACUAAAGCAGUAAUGCGCUUCGGGAGGGACCUGCGUCCCAUCAGCUAGUUGGUGAGGUAACGGCCCACCAAGGCUACGACGGGUAAGGGACCUGAGAGGGUGGUCCCUCACAAUGGCACUGAAACACGGGCCAUACACCUACGGGUGGCAGCAGUAGGGAAUAUUGGGCAAUGGGCGAAAGCCUGACCCAGCAACGCCGCGUGUGCGAUGAAGGCCCUCGGGUCGUAAAGCACUUUUCUGAGGAAUGAGAAUGGACAGUACCUCAGGAAUAAGUCUCGGCUAACUACGUGCCAGCCGCCGCGGUA